GACAGAGGGGGCAAGCGUUGCUCGGAAUCACUGGGCGUAAAGGGCGCGUAGGCGGGAUGGCAAGUCGGUCGUGAAAUCCUUCGGCUCAACCGAAGAACGUCGGCCGAUACUGCCGUUCUUGAGGGAUGCAGAGGAGAUUGGAAUUCCCGGUGUAGCGGUGAAAUGUGUAGAGAUCGGGGGGAACACCGGUGGCGAAGGCGGGUCUCUGGGCAUCUCCUGACGCUGAGGCGCGAAAGCGUGGGGAGCAAACGGG
Molecule: ribosomal RNA, 253 nt
Filed under: uncultured bacterium
Lineage: Bacteria
Description: partial 16S ribosomal RNA
Rfam family: Bacterial small subunit ribosomal RNA
Source: RNAcentral